Molecule: long non-coding RNA, 420 nt
Organism: Prionailurus viverrinus (fishing cat)
Lineage: Eukaryota; Metazoa; Chordata; Mammalia; Carnivora; Felidae
Exons: 4
Source: RefSeq, a predicted model, not a curated record
CUCUGACUAAGCCGAACCAAGAGUCCGAAGACAGCCAGAACAUUGCUCACAAAAUCUAGCUCACAUUUAUAUAGGCUUCUUCGCAGAAGGUGACCCAGUGGGAUUGUAGAAGAAAUGAAUACAAGAUGUAGACAAACAAGGACAAAAGCCCAGUGACACUGUUGAAAGCACUAGGCGACCACUGUCUUCUAACAACUUAUGUGCCAUGUUCGGAACCAGCAGCUUCUCAGGGGGAGGAGGGAAACUUGAUAGACUGUAUCCAAGAUGUGUGGGAAAGAAUUAAAAGCCAACAAUAGUCAAUACAGUCCUAAGGAAACAACAAAGAAUGGGAACCUGCUCUCCCAGGCAAUAGUACUCAUUACUUUAUUUCAUCAAAUCUAAGGUGACCAAGUUGGAAGGUGCACCAUCAUUUAUGUGUCA